RNAcentral lists this small nuclear RNA (22 nucleotides) under Arabidopsis thaliana (thale cress). Its description in RNAcentral is "snRNA_00317". Lineage: Eukaryota; Viridiplantae; Streptophyta; Magnoliopsida; Brassicales; Brassicaceae. The record is from RNAcentral.
GAAUAGAAAUCACUAACAUAUA